Molecule: ribosomal RNA, 903 nt
Filed under: uncultured Bacillota bacterium
Lineage: Bacteria; Bacillati; Bacillota
Description: bacterial SSU rRNA
Rfam family: Bacterial small subunit ribosomal RNA
Source: RNAcentral
UGGAUCCAGACUUUGAUUAUGGCUCAGGACGAACGCUGGCGGCGCGCCUAACACAUGCAAGUCGAACGAGAGAUGAGGAGCUUGCUCUUCAAAUCGAGUGGCGAACGGGUGAGUAACGCGUGAGGAACCUGCCUCAAAGAGGGGGACAACAGUUGGAAACGACUGCUAAUACCGCAUAAGCCCACAGCUCGGCAUCGAGCAGAGGGAAAAGGAGUGAUCUGCUUUGAGAUGGCCUCGCGUCCGAUUAGCUAGUUGGUGAGGUAACGGCCCACCAAGGCGACGAUCGGUAGCCGGACUGAGAGGUUGAACGGCCACAUUGGGACUGAGACACGGCCCAGACUCCUACGGGAGGCAGCAGUGGGGAAUAUUGCACAAUGGGGGAAACCCUGAUGCAGCGACGCCGCGUGGAGGAAGAAGGUCUUCGGAUUGUAAACUCCUGUUGUUGAGGAAGAUAAUGACGGUACUCAACAAGGAAGUGACGGCUAACUACGUGCCAGCAGCCGCGGUAAAACGUAGGUCACAAGCGUUGUCCGGAAUUACUGGGUGUAAAGGGAGCGCAGGCGGGAGAACAAGUUGGAAGUGAAAUCCAUGGGCUCAACCCAUGAACUGCUUUCAAAACUGUUUUUCUUGAGUAGUGCAGAGGUAGGCGGAAUUCCCGGCGUAGCGGUGGAAUGCGUAGGUAUCGGGAGGAACACCAGUGGCGAAGGCGGCCUACUGGGCACCAACUGACGCUGAGGCUCGAAAGUGUGGGUAGCAAACAGGAUUAGAUACCCUGGUAGUCCACACCGUAAACGAUGAUUACUAGGUGUUGGAGGAUUGACCCCUUCAGUGCUGCAGUUAACACAAUAAGUAAUCCACCUGGGGAGUACGACCGCAAGGUUGCAACUCAAAUGAAUUGACGGA